CCUACGGGAGGCAGCAGUAGGGAAUCUUUCACAAUGGGCGAAAGCCUGCUGGAGCAAUGCCGCGUGCAGGAUGAAGGCCUUCGGGUUGUAAACUGCUUUUAUAAGCGGGAAAUAUGAUGGUAACUUAUGAAUAAGGAUCGGCUAACUACGUGCCAGCAGCCGCGGUCAUACGUAGGCUCCGAGCAUUAUCCGGAGUGACUGGGUGUAAAGAGUUGCGUAGGUGGCAUAAUAAGUAGCUAGUGAAAUCUGGUGACUCAACCAUUCAGACAAUUAGCUAAACUGUUAAGCUCGAGACCGUUAGGGGUAACUGAAAUUGCUAGUGUAGGAGUGAAAUCCGUAGAUAUUAGAAGGAACACCAAGAGCGUAGGCAGGUAACUGGGACGGUUCUGACACUAAGGCACGAAAGCGUAGGGAGCAAACGGGAUUAGAUACCCUUGUAGUC
Molecule: ribosomal RNA, 442 nt
Filed under: uncultured bacterium
Lineage: Bacteria
Description: partial 16S ribosomal RNA
Rfam family: Bacterial small subunit ribosomal RNA
Source: RNAcentral